This 493-nucleotide ribosomal RNA is filed under the name uncultured bacterium. Its description in RNAcentral is "partial 16S ribosomal RNA". It matches the Rfam family "Bacterial small subunit ribosomal RNA", at positions 28 to 507 of the family's 1533-position model. The record is from RNAcentral.
GACGAACGCUGGCGGCGUGCCUAACACAUGCAAGUUGAGCGACGAACCAGGGCUUGCCCUGGGGCAAAACAGCGAACGGGUGAGUAACACGUGGGUAACCUACCCCGAUAACCGGGACAACCCGAGGAAACUCGGGCUAAUACCGGAUGUGCUCACUGGACUUCGGUUCAGUGCGUAAAGGAAGCUUCGGCCUCCGUAUCGGGAGGGGCCCGCGGCCCAUUAGUUUGUUGGUGAGGUAACGGCUCACCAAGACCGCGAUGGGUAGCUGGUCUGAGAGGACGAUCAGCCACACUGGGACUGAGACACGGCCCAGACUCCUACGGGAGGCAGCAGUGGGGAAUCUUGCGCAAUGCGCGAAAGCGUGACGCAGCAACGCCGCGUGGGGGAAGAAGGCCUUCGGGUUGUAAACCCCUUUCAGGAGGGACGAAGGUUCGGCGGUGAAUAGCCGUCCGGACUGACGGUACCUCCACAAGAAGCCCCGGCUAACUACGUG